This 240-nucleotide unclassified non-coding RNA is filed under the name soil metagenome. RNAcentral's name for it is "partial contains 5.8S ribosomal RNA, internal transcribed spacer 2, and large subunit ribosomal RNA". The record is from RNAcentral.
AACCUAGCACACCUGCGGUGUGUACCUGCGGAGGGAUCAUUAACGAAUUGUAAGAACUUGGCUGUCGCUGGCUUUCUUUUGCAUGUGCACGCCUUGUUCAAAACUUUUCAAACUUUACCUCCUGUGCACUUUUGUGAAUCGUAGACUUGGAUAUAUGCGUCAAAGUAACAUUUGGUUUGGGGGGAUUUUGGACAUUAGUUCAUCCUCCCGCAUCUGUCUGCGGUUCAUGUCUUUAUUACA